GAUCUGGUUCAGGAUGAACGCUGGCGGCGUGCCUAAUACAUGCAAGUCGAACGAGAGUGCUUGCACUCUAGUGGCGAACGGGUGAGUAACACGUAGGUAACCUGCCUUACAGUUGGGAUACCCUGGCGAAAGCUAGGCUAAUACCGAAUAAUUGGAUUGGAGGCAUCUCCGAUCUCUAAAAGGGGCCUUUAAAGCCUCGCUGAAUGAUGGACCUGCGGCGCAUUAGCUAGUUGGUGAGAUAACAGCCCACCAAGGCGAGGAUGCGUAGCCGACCUGAGAGGGUGAACGGCCACACUGGAACUGAGACACGGUCCAGACUCCUACGGGAGGCAGCAGUAGGGAGUUUUCGGCAAUGGGGGCAACCCUGACCGAGCAACGCCGCGUGAAUGAUGAAAGGUCUUCGGAUUGUAAAGUUCUGUUAUAAGGGAAAAAUGAUAUGGUGAGGAAAUGCUCCAUAUUUGAUGGUACCUUAUUAGAAAGCCACGGCUAACUACGUGCCAGCAGCCGC
RNAcentral lists this ribosomal RNA (508 nucleotides) under uncultured bacterium. RNAcentral describes it as "bacterial SSU rRNA". It matches the Rfam family "Bacterial small subunit ribosomal RNA", at positions 15 to 518 of the family's 1533-position model. The record is from RNAcentral.